CUGAACAAUGAUGAAAAGAUGAUGACUAAAUUUUUAUCAGAUAAAAAGGUAAAGGUACUGCCUUGGCCUACCAUGUCACCUGAUUUAAACCCAGUAGAACAGCUGUGGGGUGUUUUGAAAAGGAUGGUUGAGAAGAAAAAAC
This is a long non-coding RNA of Octopus sinensis (East Asian common octopus), 142 nucleotides long. RefSeq lists it as uncharacterized. The record is from RefSeq and is a predicted model, not a curated record. NCBI's taxonomy places the organism in Eukaryota, Metazoa, Mollusca, Cephalopoda, Octopoda, Octopodidae. The transcript has 3 exons.